RNAcentral lists this ribosomal RNA (514 nucleotides) under uncultured bacterium. RNAcentral describes it as "bacterial SSU rRNA". It matches the Rfam family "Bacterial small subunit ribosomal RNA", at positions 8 to 518 of the family's 1533-position model. The record is from RNAcentral.
AGAGUUUGAUUAUGGCUCAGGAUGAACGCUAGCGGCAGGCCUAAUACAUGCAAGUCGUACGGGAAUGCCCCUCGGGGGCAUGAGAGUGGUGGACGGGUGCGCAACGCGUAUGCAACCCACCGCCCCGUGGCGUACAGCCGGUGGAAACGCCGGGUGAUUCGCCGUGCGGCCCCGAGGGGGCAUCCCCCUUGGGGUGAAAGCCGGGAGGCGCGGGGUGACGGGCAUGCGUCCCAUUAGGUAGUCGGCGGGGUGACGGCCCACCGAGCCCACGAUGGGUAGGGGAUCUGAGAGGACGGUCCCCCACACUGGCACUGAGACACGGGCCAGACUCCUGCGGGAGGCAGCAGUAGGGGAUAUUGGGCAAUGGGGUGAACCCUGACCCAGCCAUGCCGCGUGAGGGAAGUAGGCCCUACGGGUCGUGAACCUCUUUUAUUCGGGGACAACGGCGGCCACGGGAUGGCCGCGUGAGGGUACCGAAGGAAUAAGCAUCGGCUAACUCCGUGCCAGCCGCCGC